Molecule: ribosomal RNA, 253 nt
Filed under: uncultured bacterium
Lineage: Bacteria
Description: partial 16S ribosomal RNA
Rfam family: Bacterial small subunit ribosomal RNA
Source: RNAcentral
UACGUAGGGACCAAGCGUUGUUCGGAUUUACUGGGCGUAAAGGGCGCGUAGGCGGCUUGUCAAGUCGAUUGUGAAAUCUCCGGGCUUAACCCGGAACGGUCAAUUGAUACUGACGUGCUAGAGUGCAGAAGGGGCAACUGGAAUUCUCGGUGUAGCGGUGAAAUGCGUAGAUAUCAAGAGGAACACCUGAGGUGAAGACGGGUUGCUGGGCUGACACUGACGCUGAGGCACGAAAGCUAGGGUAGCAAACGGG